CAGCAGCCGCGGUAAUACGUAGGGUGCAAGCGUUAAUCGGAAUUACUGGGCGUAAAGCGUGCGCAGGCGGUUCGGAAAGAAAGAUGUGAAAUCCCAGGGCUCAACCUUGGAACUGCAUUUUUAACUCCCGAACUAGAGUAUGUCAGAGGGGGGUGGAAUUCCACGUGUAGCAGUGAAAUGCGUAGAUAUGUGGAGGAACACCGAUGGCGAAGGCAGCCCCCUGGGAUAAUACUGACGCUCAUGCACGAAAGCGUGGGGAGCAAACAGGAUUAGAUACCCCCGUAGUCCCUGUCUCUUAUAC
RNAcentral lists this ribosomal RNA (301 nucleotides) under uncultured bacterium. RNAcentral describes it as "partial 16S ribosomal RNA". It matches the Rfam family "Bacterial small subunit ribosomal RNA", at positions 509 to 807 of the family's 1533-position model. The record is from RNAcentral.